Anguilla rostrata (American eel) is the source of this 1333-nucleotide long non-coding RNA. RefSeq lists it as uncharacterized. NCBI's taxonomy places the organism in Eukaryota, Metazoa, Chordata, Actinopteri, Anguilliformes, Anguillidae. The transcript has 3 exons. The record is from RefSeq and is a predicted model, not a curated record.
CUAAGCUGCGCAGGAGACACGACAACAGGUUUGAACACAGAGUCAACAGGUAUGGGGCUUAUGCUUCAUGAGGCUACAGUCACACACACACAGGCAAACACACACACACGCACAAAUAUAGACACACACACACACACACACUAUGGCUCCAGUUGAGGAGGGAGAGGCCAGGCACCGAGCUGAUGUCUCCAGACAGGUUGGAGCGCUUUUGUAUGGAGAUAAAUAACAUUUUUUUUUUUCUCUCAUUCAGGCCUGAUAUCCUGCAUCCACCCACACAGCCUGACACAAACUGUACGCUCAGUGACAGGAAGAUGUAUUCUUUUCAUUAAUUCAAAGUUAUCUUCUCAUUUUUCAUGCCAGAGAAGGAGAUUUACCAUUUCAGCAUUAAUCAUCUGUGGACGAGGCUUUGAGAUCCUGAGCAACUUUAAUUCUGCGUUGGUUUUGAACGACACUGGGCCGACUAUCUUCAAAGCGGAAUCACCGUCUAAUGUAUUCUUGAGCUCUUUUCAGAACACAAACACAGAUCCACGCUCCUGAUGAAGUGAUCUGUAAGACCUGUGGCGCUCUGAUUGUGUACAUUUACUUCCUGGUGUGAUAAAUGGGUCCCAUAAUGUUCUCUUCAUUUUUGGAAGUUACUGGACCAGGACAGCUGUCUUAUCUCAUCGGCUUGGCUCACCGGUGCACUUCCUCUGGGAGAGAGAUCCACUGGAACGCGUCGAAAGUGUGUGAAACGGCGGUUUUAACAGGACUGAACGGAGAAGAGCGGCGGGAGAGAGAGAAGAGGACGGAGGAAGCGGACGGACAGAUAUGAGAGGGGUCAUGGAUGAAUUAUGAAGAUGAAGAAGAUAAUGACAUCAUGAAGAUGGAGAGAGUCGUUCAGAUGACACAGAUGUGUUUUUAUGUUCUGUGUACAGUACUCAUGGCAACACGGCAACAUGUACUAAACACGUACUAAAUACUAAAUGAAUGUGAAGCCAAUAAAGCAUUAAUUUCAUUGUAAAUAGCACGACUCUAUAGUUAAUUACCUGGGCUAAAGCACAUUGAUACUGCAUCACCCGUUAGGGGAAUACAGCCGUAAUCUCGCAUGUUGUGACCCUUAAUGAAGUGAGUCACAUAAACGCAUCUCACGCACACACACAGUCAUUUACACACUGUCUUCAUACGAAUUAUUCUCUUUUGUAUACAUUUAUUUCUCUUCUAUUUCAUUUCUCAUUUUAAAUCAUGUUUCUCAAUAUUUAUUUAAUGCAGUCGCACAUAAUUUCCCAUCAUUAUAAAUAUGAUAUGGUGCCUUGAAUGAAAAGUAAUGCAAGCAGUCUCUCAAACGGUGCUGCCC